RNAcentral lists this long non-coding RNA (8372 nucleotides) under Lactuca sativa (garden lettuce). RNAcentral's name for it is "long non-coding RNA (LSAT_LNC009623)". The record is from RNAcentral. Lineage: Eukaryota; Viridiplantae; Streptophyta; Magnoliopsida; Asterales; Asteraceae.
AUGUACCGCUACCGCGUCGGCUCCUUCCCCUUUGAAGAAGAGGUACCUAAAACCAAAACUGAAAAUUGUAAGCAUGAAUCUUAGUGAGUCCCCCCACUGUACCACAUACCAUAUAAUCACAUAACAUAUAUAUACUGCCGGGCAUAUCUCGGUGCCCGACCUACCCCUUCGGUCCUUACGACCGGAUACUGCCUUGCAUAUCUGGGUGCCCGACCUACCCCUUCGGUCCUUGCGACCGGAUACUGCCGGGCAUAUCUUGGUGCCCGACCUACCCCUUCGGUCCUUGCGACCGGAUACUGUUGGGCAUAUCUGGGUGCCCGACCUACCCCUUCGGUCCUUACGACCGAAUACUGGGGACUAUUUCACCCCCUACUGCUACCACAUAACACAUAUCACAUAGCAUCAUAUCAUACUAGCACAUAAACAUAACACAGGUAGUAGCAACCCUAGAUGAACAUCACAGUGACCAUCAUCUAUCAUACAUCUCCUACUGGUGGGCCGGCAUUGUGGUCGUAGACCCACCGCUACUGGAAGGUAACUCACCUCAAAGUAGCUGCUGAUCUGCAUGGGAACUGACUAUUUGCUGUUGCUGCCGCUCCGGAAAUCCUCCGACUAUAAUUCCCACAAAACCCUUAGUCAAUUACUGCUAACCGACCUCAGGGUAAAAUGACAAUUUACCCCUUACCAAUCAAGAGUCAAGUCAAAGUCAACUGCCAGUUGGCCCGACUCGCCGAGUUGACUUGCCAACUCGCCGAGUCCCUAUCCAUUUGUCCGACCAUAAACCCGUCUCUACUCAUCGAGUUAAGCAUUGACUUGACGAGUUCUCCUUCUAAACUAAAGGCCAAUAGUCCUUCAUCCUACUCGCCGAGUUGUAUGAACAACUCGCCGAGUUCUUCUUCAUCCGAAGAACACUCUAUGCUGAGACUCGCCGAGCUGUAUGAACAACUCGCCGAGUCUGUUCUUGAGGUAAGAAGAUUGCCUUGAACUCGCUGAGUCAUGGCAUUGAUUCGCCGAGUUACUUCAUGAGUGAGUUUGGCUUCCGACCCACUGAGUCACACCCCAUGACUCACUACUCCAACCCGCAACACGAAAAAGGGGGAAAACUCGGGGACUCGCGACUCGACUCGCCGAGUCUGCCACAUGCAAAUACUAUACACGCGAUUUUGCUUGAAUCCAGCUCAUGCCAUUCAUAGAUCUGGGUUUCUAGGGCCUGAUUAACACGUAAAGUUUCCAACUUUACGUGUAAAUAAACACCAAUGAAGGUUUUAGGGCUCAAAAUGCACCAAAAGAGUAGAUCUAGGGCUUUCAUGCAAUAUGGCUCCAUAAAGGCAGCAGAUCCAAGCUCCUGGAGCUCAAGCAUGCCUAGAUCUAGAGGCUAAACAACUUAUUACGAACCCUAAAACACAAACAAGCUUGGGAAAAGGCUCAAGAAGGACUUUCAUGGAGCUACAAGGGACAAUAAGCAUGAAAACAGAGGGAAACUGAGUUAUACCUCAAGGAAAUCACUGAGAUAACACAAAUAUGCCUGGCCUCCUUCUUCACUUCUUGAUCUACUCUCCUUCCCUCUCCAAAUUUUCAAGAAAACACACCAAAAUGCUUCAAUCUCACAAGGAACAAGGCUUGAACGAAGUAUAAGGCUCUGAGAGUGAAGGGGCAAGCUUACGGGCGGAUAAGAGGGUUUAAAUAGGGUGCAAACCCUUGAAAUUUAGGGUUUCAUCAGACAGCUGGGACUCGUCGAGUCUAAAAUAUGGACUUGCCGAGUCGCCAACUUAAAAGUGUUCCGGAUCCCUUCGCUAUUCAGCGAGUCGGACCUACAACUCACCGAGUCCAAGGCUAAAAAAUGAAAAACACUAAGAUAAAUUUUACGUACCAGGAACCAGGUGCUACAAAUCUCCCCCACUUAUUUUAGACUUCGUCCUCGAAGUCUGCCGCUCGAUCCUGAAACAGCUCGGGGUAAUGCUCCAUCAUUUCUUCCACCGGCUGCCAAGUCCAUUCUGAACCCUUGCGGUGCUGCCAUUGCACCUUCACUAAUUCCACCCUCUUGUACCUUAGAUCGUUCGACUUCCGGUCGUGGAUUGCGACUGGGCGCUCAAUGUAAUUUAGGCUGUCAUCAACCUGUAUAUCCUCUAACGGCACCACCGCUGAAUCAUCCACGAGGCACUUCUGCUGCUGGGGGACAUGGAAGGUGUUGUGGAUCUGACUGAGCUCGGCUGGCAGAUCCAACCUAUAUGCCACCUUGCCCACCCGGGCUACAACCCUGAACGGACCAAUGUAUCUCGGGCCCAACUUGCCCCGCUUCCUGAAUCGAAUGACGCCUGUCCAAGGCGACACUUUCAGGAGAACCAUAUCCCCGACCUGGAAUUCCAGGUCUGAUCGAUGCUUGACAACGUAACUUUUCUGCCGACUUUGUGCAGUCUGAAGCCUGCUUCGAAGCUGUUGGAUCCUCUGGGUCGUCUUGAGCACCACCUCGGUGCUCCCCAUGACCCUCUUGCCAACUUCACCCCAACAUAUCGGGGUCCUGCACCUCCGUCCAUACAACAUCUCGAAUGGGGGACGGUCAAUACUCGCGUGGUAUCUGUUGUUGUACAAGAACUCAGCCAAGGGAAGAUAGGUAUCCCAGCUACCACCGAAGUCUAGCUCGCAUGCCCGCAACAUAUCCUCCAAAGUCUGGAUGGUCCACUCACUCUAACCAUCUGUCUGCGGGUGAAAGGUGGUGCUAAAAUGCAGACGAGUGCCCAACUCAUCAUGAAACCUCUUCCAAAACCUGGAAGUGAACCGCACAUCUCGAUCUGAUAUCACUGACACUGGCACCCCGUGCCACGCCACUAUCUCCCUGAUAUAGAUAUCGGCCAACUUUUCAGCCGAGAUACUCUCCUGAAUCGGAAUAAAAUGGGUGCUCUUGGUCAACCGAUCCACGAUGAUCCAAAUCGAAUCUACUCCUUGCGCCGUCCGUGGAAGCUUUGUGAUAAAAUCCAUCGUAAUAUCCUCCCAUUUCCACAUCGGGAUAUCCAACGGCUGCAUCUUGCCGUGUGGUCUCUAAUGGUCGGCCUUGACCUUCCUGCAGGUCAAACACCGCUCGACGUACCACGCCACAUCCCGCUUCAUGCAGGGCCACCAAUAGUCUAGGCGAAGAUCCCGAUACAUCUUCGUCGCCCCUGGAUGAAUAGAGAAUCGGGAUUUGUGCACCUCCCCCAUCAAGAUUUGGCGCACGCCUCCGUGAUACAGCACCCACACCCUACGGUGUAGUGUCAAUAACCCUCAGCUAUCAUAAUCUAAGGAGGUGACUUGACCCACUAUGCGCUCACUCUUUCGAUGUUCCUCCUUCAUAUCCUCCUGCUGAGCUUCCCGAAUCUGCUCUAACAGGGGAGUCGCCACUGUCAUCCUCAUGCAAAUAUCGUUGAUCGGCGCCGCCUUGUGGCUAAGCGCAUCGGCCUCCACAUUGGCCUUUUCCGGGUGAUAAAGGAUCUCGCAAUCAUAAUCCUUCACCACGUCCAGCCACCGGCACUGCCCCAUGUUCAGAUCCGGCUGAUCCAUGAGGUACCUCAAACUCUUGUGGUCCGUGAAAAUGGUACAUCGAACUCCGUAGAGGUAAUGCCGCCAUAUCUUGAGGGCGAAGACCACCGCUCAACUCUAAAUCAUGCGUCGGGUAGUUCGCCUCCUGAGGCUCAGCUGCCUCNGCAUAAGCAAUGACAUGUCCCGUCUGCAUCAAUACUGUGCCUAAGCCCGAGAUAGACACAUCACAGUACACCACAAAAUCCUCUACGCCCUCGGGCAGGGCUAAGAUUGGCGCCUCACACAAUCUCUGCCUCAGAAUCUCGAACGCUGCCUACUGCUCAGGCCCCCAUCAAAAGACCACGGUUUUCCUAGUCAACUGAGUCAGGGGUACGACUAUCUUGGAGAAAUCCUGAAUGAAUCUCCGAUAAUAUCCUGAUAAUCCAAGGAAACUCCGAAUCUUGGAUGGAUACUUCAGAACCUCCAAUCUCAUCACGGCCUCCACCUUGGCUGGGUCUACUGAAAUCCCGUUCUGGUUGACGAGGUGCCCAAGAAACUGCACCUCGCGCAACCAAAACUCACAUUUGGAGAACUUGGCGUACAAGCUCUCCCUCCUCAAGGUCUCCAAAACCUCUCUCAGAUGCUCCUCGUGCUCCUCCUGUGUCUUGGAAUAAACCAAGAUGUCAUCAAUGAAAACUAUCACUGACCGAUCCAGCAUCGGUCUACACACGCGGUUCAUGAGGUCCAUGAACGCGGCAGGAGCAUUGGUGAGCCCAAACGGCAUCACCACGAACUCAUAAUGGCCAUAGCGCGUCCGAAACGCAGUCUUCUGUACAUCCUCCUCUCUGACCCUCAUCUGAUGAUAACCUGAACGCAAAUCGAUCUUGGAGAACCAAGAUGCUCCCUGUAACUGAUCAAAGAGGUCAUCAAUCCUCGGGAGUGGGUAACGGUUCUUCACCGUUACCUUAUUCAGCUCUCGGUAAUCUAUACACAUCCGAUGCGACCCGUCCUUCUUCUUCACAAACAGGAUCGGGGCUCCCCAGGGUGAACUGCUCGGUCGAAUAAAUCCCUUGUCUAGCAGCUCCUGCAGCUGCGUAGACAACUCCUGCAUCUCGGGAGGAGCCAACUGAUAGGGUGCCUUGGCUAUCGGAGCCGCACCAGGAACUAGGUCGAUCCUGAACUCUACCUGAUGCUCCGGAGGUAUUCCAGGAAGCUCCUCCGGUAAAACGUCAGUGUAGUCUUGCACCACUUGGACCUUGCUCACCGUCGCUUUACCCGUCUCUCGGGUAUCCAAAACAUACGCGACAUAUCUCGCGCAACCCUGCUGAAGGUAGCGCCUAGCUCUCGCUGCUGAACAUACUGCAGGUCCACAUUGUGGCCUCUCGCCGUGGAUCACUAACUCUCCCCCACUCGCGGUCCUGAUCCGCACUAGCUGCUGUGCGCAAUCUAUCACCGCCCCAUUAGAUCUCAACCAAUCCAUGCCUAUAAUCACCUUGUUCCACCGCAAUGGAUGGGAACCAAAUCCACCAAAUAGCGCUCCCCAAAUAACCUCAAAACACAAUCCCUGAACACUGCUGAUGCUCGUACCGAUCGAUCAUCGGCAAUCUCUACCUCUAAAGGGCAAUCCAACAUGCCCGAAGACUUUGUAAAUCUCUUGCUAAGCACAAGGGAAACAAAUGACCGGGUGGCACCCGAGUCAAACAACACCUGAAUUGGGAUACUGUUCACAUGGAACGAUCCUAACGCAUGAACACAGGGCACUUAUCAAUAACACAACAUCAUAAAAAUAAAAAUAGAGGGAAAGAAUCAUACCCGUCACCACGUCAGGUGCGGCGCAUGCCUCCUCUGCAGUCAGCUGAAACGCACGGCUCCUCUCCAUUGGAGCCUCUGCCUUGCCCUGUCGACCAUCUAUAAUCCGCAGGGUAGCUGGAGCUAGCGCCUUAACCGGCGCUGACGCUGUCAACUGGGGCCAAUUGGCCUUCUUGUGGCCCUUCUGGUUGCAAAGGAAACACAGAAACUCAGACGUCUGCAUCAUAGGUGCAGGGGCGGUACAAUCCCGGUUGAAGUGCCCUGACUUGCCGCACUUGUAGCAGCCUGACGAUCCUAUCUUGCAUGCUCCCUCGUGCGCCCUGCCGCAUUUCUUACAGCGGUCCCGUCCCUGUUGGCCUUUCUUCCCCGCACCCAAUCCUUUGGGCUUCUUUUCUGAAGCCCCAUAACCUGCCCCUCUUCCGCCUUCCUCUUCCGGAUGUGCUCCAGAUCUAUCUCCCUCUCCCUUGCCCUGGCAAUCAUAGAGUCCAGGGUAGGGCAAGCUGAAAAACUGACAUGCUCCCGAAUAUCAGCUCGUAGCAUGUCAUGAUAGCAGGUCCUCGUCAUAUCCUCCUCACCUACGUACUAGGGCACCAGCAACGCCCUCUCUUGGAACUUGGUGGUGAUCUCCGCCACAGUCUCCGUCGUUUGUCUCAUAUCCAAGAACUCCCUGGCCAGCUACUAAAGCUCAACAGCCAGCGCGAACUCUUCCCUGAACCUGGUCACAAAGUCCGACCAAGUCAUAGUCUCAACAGCCGAGGCUCCCAACGAGUCACCUACGGAGUCCCACCUCUAGCCGAAGCUAAUCAUCUGUGCAGACUCAAUGUCUGCAAUCCAUCGUCUGGCGACUAUGGGGUCCUUCGCCCCGUGAAAAUCCGGCGCACCACUGCCCCGGAAGUCCUUGAAGGACAGUGUGCGGGAUCCCGACUGGCAAGUUGCCAUGUCGCUCCUGAAUGCUCGGAGGCGAUCCUCCAUCAACUCCAAUAUCCCUUGAUCGACCCGAAGAUAAUGGGGGUCGACUCAAGGAUGCCUCUUGUGAUCUCUGACGCGAUGAACUCGCGUAACCCCUGAUCUACUGGCUCGGAACCUGAUCCAGAACCCGAUCCCUCUUCUGUAUUGCCAACUGCUGGCCUCGAGCGUACCACCACCAUUCUGAAAUACAUAAAUAAUAAUCGUUAGUGAUACUGAUACCUCUAGAGGAAUCACGCCUACUACAAGUUUCCUGGUUUUAUCUUGGCCUUCCUCGGUUCGGGUACGGAUCCUCUACUUUAUGUAGUACGGGCCCAUACUACCUUCCACAUAUAUCCGUACCUUCUCCAAGGACUGCCUUGACUCCAUUAGGUUCCUAUCACUACCACUGAUCACCGCUAUACUCAUCCUAGGCUUGCCCCAGGAAAAUCUCUAACUCCACUCGACCCGGUCCUCAACUGCUGAAGGCCUCCUUGUAAUGCCAGUUAGCCAUUACCUGAAUACCAUCACAUGUGAUGAGGCUCAGAUAAUCCUUUGAGUAACAGAUUCGUCCUUAUAAUGGUUAGAUUACUCAAACGAGAGCUACGCAAUAGGGCCAAAUCCAGCACUCUAAGAUUAUUCAACCCAGAUCACAUGUGACGUGACGUAUUCAUCUAAUGGCUAACUCCCAUCACUUAGAAUCCCACAAAGCACAAAGCAAGCAGCAUUCAGACAAAAAUGGAACAAUCUCACGCAAAUCCAUUCUCAUAGAGAGAGAAACUGAACUAGCAUACAGUACUAAACUCAUACUAUUAGGCAUAACCUUACACGCUAUCCUACUUCUGUCUACUCAAUUCUAGCAUGCAGUUUUCAUACACUGAAGCACAUAAGGAAGGCACAUAAGGCAUCACUCCUAGAUCCUUAGUUAUAUUCUAGCAUGCUAUUCUACUGAAACUGAUAAACAUAACAUAAGCUUGUAUGGGUACUUUGGGGGAAUACUUACUUGAGCUCGGCCAGUCGCGCACAUCACACACUUUGUUCUGUCUUAAAAUCCCUUACUUAGCCUUUUAGAAAACAUUUUCUCUUUCUAAAAUCUCUUAAUCCCUCAAUUUGAGUUCAAACACCCCCGCAGGUGUGUCCGAAUCCCUCAAACCAGGGCUCUGCUAGCAACUUGUAACAUCCCAAAAUACGAGCCAAAAAUUUCAUUUUUAAAACAUGUAUUUAGCAAAACAUUAGGAAUAAAACGCUCAACGCUCAUAUCAUUUCACAAAGAUAUUGCAUGUCUGGAAAACAUUUUUAUAAAACGUAAUAGUGUCAGAGUACAAAUCCCCAGGAAGAUCUCAUAAUGCGGAAUACAAAGCAUGUGUGUGAUGUACCGCUACCGCGCCGGCUCCUUCCCCUUCAAAGAAGAGGUACCUGAAACCAAAACUGAAUAGUGUAAGCACUAAGCUUAGUAAGUCCCGCCACUGUACCACAUACCAUAUAAUCACACGACAUAUAUACUAUCGGGCAUAUCUGGGUGCCCGACCUACCCCUUCGGUCCUUACGACCGGAUACUACCGGGCAUAUCUAGGUGCCCGACCUACCCCUUCGGUCCUUGCAACGGGAUACUGCCGAGCAUAUCUGGGUGCCCGACCUACCCCUUCAGUCCUUGCGACCGGAUACUGCCGGGCAUAUCUGGGUGCCCGACCUACCCCUUCGAUCCUUACCACUGAAUACUGGGGACUAUUUCACCCGCUACUGCUACCACAUAACAUAUCACAUAGCAUCAUAUCAUACUAGCACAUAAACAUAACACAGGUAGUAGCAACCCUAGAUGAAUAUCACAGAGACCAUCAUAUAUCAUACAUCUCCUACUGGUGGGCCGGCAUUGUGGCCGUAGACCCACCGCUACUGGAAGGGAACUCACCUCAAAGUAGCCGNGCUGAUCUGUGUGGGAACUGACUGUCUGCUGCUGCUGCCGCUCUGGAAACACUACUAGAAAAAAGGCCUUUUACGAUGCUCAUUGCGCGUCGUAAAAGGCUUAGACGACGCGCAAAUGCGUGUCAAGGAAGGCCAUGUCAUAAAUAUAGACGGCGCGCAUUUGCGCGUCGUCUAGAGACGACGCGCAUUUACGACGCGCAUUU